CCUACGGGGGGCAGCAGUGGGGAAUAUUGGACAAUGGGGGCAACCCUGAUCCAGCCAUGCCGCGUGUGUGAAGAAGGCCCUCGGGUUGUAAAGCACUUUCAGUGAGGAAGAACGCCUGGUGGUUAAUACCCAUCAGGAAAGACAUCACUCACAGAAGAAGCACCGGCUAACUCCGUGCCAGCAGCCGCGAUAAUACGGAGGGUGCGAGCGUUAAUCGGAAUUACUGGGCGUAAAGCGCGCGUAGGUGGCUUGAUAAGCCGGUUGUGAAAGCCCCGGGCUCAACCGGGGAACGGCAUCCGGAACUGUCAAGCUAGAGUGCAGGAGAGGAAGGUAGAAUUCCCGGUGUAGCGGUGAAAUGCGUAGAGAGCGGGAGGAAUACCAGUGGCGAAGGCGGCCUUCUGGACUGACACUGACACUGAGGUGCGAAAGCGUGGGUAGCAAACAGGAUUAGAUACCCUGGUAGUC
This 465-nucleotide ribosomal RNA is filed under the name Vreelandella stevensii. RNAcentral's name for it is "partial 16S ribosomal RNA". It matches the Rfam family "Bacterial small subunit ribosomal RNA", at positions 338 to 795 of the family's 1533-position model. Lineage: Bacteria; Pseudomonadati; Pseudomonadota; Gammaproteobacteria; Oceanospirillales; Halomonadaceae. The record is from RNAcentral.